GACGAACGCUGGCGGCGUGCUUAACACAUGCAAGUCGAACGAAGUGGCGAACGGGUGAGUAACGAGUAAUCAACCUGCCCUUCAGCGGGGGAAAACAGUUGGAAACGACUGCUAAUACCGCAUACUGAAGGAGGGGAUUGCGUCUGAUUGGAUAGUGGGAGGGGUAACGGCCCACCAAGGCGAUGAUCAGGAGCCGGUCUGAGAGGAUGAACGGCCAAAUUGGGACUGAGAAACGGCCCAGACUCCUACGGGAGGCAGCAAUUGGGAAUCUUCCGCAAUGGACGAAAGUCUGACGGCGCAACGCCGCGUGAGUGAUGACGGCCUUCGGGUUGGAAAGCUCUGUUAAUCGGGACGCGGUACCGGAAUAGAAAGCCACGGCUAACUACGUGCCAGCAGCCGCGGUAAUAC
Molecule: ribosomal RNA, 408 nt
Filed under: uncultured bacterium
Lineage: Bacteria
Description: partial 16S ribosomal RNA
Rfam family: Bacterial small subunit ribosomal RNA
Source: RNAcentral